RNAcentral lists this ribosomal RNA (497 nucleotides) under uncultured bacterium. RNAcentral describes it as "partial 16S ribosomal RNA". It matches the Rfam family "Bacterial small subunit ribosomal RNA", at positions 28 to 507 of the family's 1533-position model. The record is from RNAcentral.
GAUGAACGCUGGCGGCGUGCCUAAUACAUGCAAGUCGAGCGAACGGACGAGAAGCUUUCUUCUCUGCUGUUAGCGGCGGACGGGCGAGUAACACGUGGAUAACCUACCUAUAAGACUGGGAUAACUUCGGGAAACCGGAGCUAAUACCGGAUGAUAUUUUGUACCGCAUGGUUCAAAAGUGAAUGACGGUCUUGCUGUCACUUAUAGAUGGAUCCGCGCUGCAUUAGCUAGUUGGUAAGGUAACGGCUUACCAAGGCAACGAUGCAUAGCCGACCUGAGAGGGUGGUCGGCCACACUGGAACUGAGACACGGUCCAGACUCCUACGGGAGGCAGCAGUAGGGAAUCUUCCGCAAUGGGCGGAAAGCUGACGGAGCAACGCCGCGUGAGUGAUGAAGGUCUUCGGAUCGUAAAACUCUGUUAUUAGGGAAGAACAUAUGUGUAAGUAACUGUGCACAUCUUGACGGUACCUAAUCAGAAAGGCACGGCUAACUACGGG